Molecule: transfer RNA, 84 nt
Filed under: Nanobdellota archaeon
Lineage: Archaea; Nanobdellati; Nanobdellota
Description: tRNA-Leu
Rfam family: tRNA
About the family: Transfer RNA (tRNA) molecules are approximately 80 nucleotides in length. Their secondary structure includes four short double-helical elements and three loops (D, anti-codon, and T loops). Further hydrogen bonds mediate the characteristic L-shaped molecular structure. tRNAs have two regions of fundamental functional importance: the anti-codon, which is responsible for specific mRNA codon recognition, and the 3' end, to which the tRNAs corresponding amino acid is attached (by aminoacyl-tRNA synthetases). tRNAs cope with the degeneracy of the genetic code in two manners: having more than one tRNA (with a specific anti-codon) for a particular amino acid; and 'wobble' base-pairing, i.e. permitting non-standard base-pairing at the 3rd anti-codon position.
Source: RNAcentral
GCAGGGGUGCCGGAGUGGUCAAACGGGAUGGGCUUAGGACCCAUUGGCUUAGUGCCUCCGCAGGUUCGAACCCUGUCCCCUGCA